CCAAGUACCGGACCAACUUCUCCCCUUCACUUGCUUACGCCUUGCGGCACAAAUCAGGAAUCAAGUAAAUUCUGGGAAAAUUUGAAACUUGCUGAAGAAAGGCAAACGGAAGGAAGGGACUCACUUUGGCGGUCAGCAAUUUCAGUCAUUGCUGGCAGCAAUUUUGGCGGUCAACAAUUUCGGCUUUGUUUCCUCUCAUUCUUGGCUUUCUUUCAACAAUUUUGGUGAGUUCAUUCUUUUCUUGGCUUUCUUUACCAGGUGUCCAAGCAAUUUUGGCGGUGAAUUGAGCUGAAUCCAGAGCGCACCGCUUCAGAGUUUUGCGAGCUGCUACUUUUCCUUAUUGUUUUCUCGGCCUUGUUUCCUCUGUUUCUUUUCUUGGCAUUCUUUACCAGGCGUGUUUUUCCCGUUCCUCAUUCUCCCGUCUUUUUCCUUUAUUCUUUUCUUAGCUUUCUCUGGCCAGUGCUUUUUCCUUCCCUUGUUUUCCUAUUGAAUUUUCUGAGGACGGUGAUGAUUCAUGAUAGAUAGUGUUGCUGUAGUUAUGCCUUCUGUUACUGCUACUUCUUUGCUUUAAUGCAGCUGCUACUUGGGUUAGGUAUAGCUACGGUGGAUAUUACUCAGUGUAACCUUGCGAUAUGUUUAUUUGUUCUUCUCUGGCUGGAAUUGGGGAACAAUUGCUCUUUUUCUUAUUAAUGGAAUGCGUCGUUAUGGCUGUAAUAGUUAUUAUUCAAUUAAAUGUUAAGUUGCGUUUUUCGUUCCUUUUCUCUGUACUGUAGAUUAAUGCAUUGAGAAUGGGUCGGAUUAGAGUAUACGGAAGUUUGGAAGAGGCAAUUAAACCAGAAUUAACUGUAAAACAUGUCUUUGCAUAAUUAAUGCUUUUACAAAUAUCUUGAAAUAAUUCUUACUCCAUAAAAACUUUUCCUAUCAGAAAUUAGCAGUGAGAAUCCGGGUUCUGAUAUGAGUUCAGUGUUGCAUGGAUUGGACAAUAUGAGUUUGGGGUACGGGGCUAACGAAGACGAGAAACAGGGGAAUCUGUAAACCAUUUGGCCUGACUCCUCAAUGUGUUAAUUCGUUUUUUUAAUGAAGCUGUUUAGACUUCACUAAGAGACAUGAAAACUUACUGAGGGUUGUUUUGAUCGGUUAAGUGAAUUGUUAUCGCAAUACAAAGGUGAAUCUCUUUUCCAGAUUUAUUUUCUUUAGAAUUCAUCAAAUGCUAAUUUCCAUUUCAGAUUUAUUUUGUUUUUGCUUUCCCACUACUUUCUUUAUGAGACUGGGGAUUGCCAAGUUUGUCGUAUGAAUCAGGGAUAUAUUUUAUACUAAAGGCAAAACGAAGGGCUCUAGGAAAUGUCUGGUGUUUUGGCUGAGCAUCAUCCAGCACUAGCCAAUGCCCUGAUCGUAUGAUUGUUGGGUAACGUGUUCGAUGGUGUGAGUGCAGCAAAGGGUGUAUGUUCCAGGAAGGGUAAAGGAGAAGCAAACUGUUGAGCUGGAGGUCUACAAUCAGGGAAUGUUCAAAACCGAGUUGAGUAACAAAUGGCAAGAGACCGAGGAAUGUCCCUAUGGAGAGAACUGCCAAUUUGCUCACGGAAUUAAAGGAGCUGCGCCCUGUACUUCGCCACCCAAGGUACAAGACUGAGGUAUGCCGUAUGGCGUUGAACGGUGAUCACUGCCCUUAUGGACACCGAUGCCACUUCUGCCCCACCCUCACUGAUGAGAAUAAGCUUAUCAAGUCCAUGAACAUCAGGCCCCUAAAGCCACUCAAUCGUUAGGUCUAUGAUUAUAACUCCACUAAAUGAUGUUAGACAAGUGUAAAAGUCUUGGCUGGUAUGCAACGGUGUUUUUGUUUUUCAAAGUAAUCAAUAGGCAAUAAGGCUAAGGUCUACUGAUGUGAUAAUACUAACUGCUUGAUUAAAAAAAAAAACUGUAUGAUCCGUCGUCAAGGAGAUUAAAAGUAAAA
Coffea eugenioides is the source of this 1951-nucleotide long non-coding RNA. RefSeq lists it as uncharacterized. The record is from RefSeq and is a predicted model, not a curated record. The transcript has 2 exons. Lineage: Eukaryota; Viridiplantae; Streptophyta; Magnoliopsida; Gentianales; Rubiaceae.